GAAAGCGUCGCUGGGGCGGCACGUCAAACAGCGACGAGAAGCCCGGCUUCAUGGAGCGCGCCAUCGCGAUGGUGUCCGGGCUGUUCGCGCCGCCGGACGCCGACCCCCUGGUCUACAACGACGCGAACCCUAAC
This 134-nucleotide non-coding RNA is filed under the name Emiliania huxleyi. The record is from RNAcentral. Lineage: Eukaryota; Haptophyta; Isochrysidales; Noelaerhabdaceae.